AACGAACGCUGGCGGCAUGCCUAACACAUGCAAGUCGAACGAUGCCUUCGGGCAUAGUGGCGCACGGGUGCGUAACGCGUGGGAAUCUGCCUUUCGGUUCGGAAUAACUCAGGGAAACUUGAGCUAAUACCGGAUAACGUCGCAAGACCAAAGAUUUAUCACCGAAAGAUGAGCCCGCGUAGGAUUAGCUAGUUGGUGAGGUAAAGGCUCACCAAGGCGACGAUCCUUAGCUGGUCUGAGAGGAUGAUCAGCCACACUGGGACUGAGACCCGGCCCAGACUCCUACGGGAGGCAGCAGUGGGGAAUAUUGGACAAUGGGCGAAAGCCUGAUCCAGCAAGGCCGCGUGAGUGAUGAAGGCCUUAGGGUUGUAAAGCUCUUUUACCCGGGAAGAUAAUGACGGUACCGGGAGAAUAAGCCCCGGCUAACUCCGUG
This 433-nucleotide ribosomal RNA is filed under the name uncultured bacterium. Its description in RNAcentral is "partial 16S ribosomal RNA". It matches the Rfam family "Bacterial small subunit ribosomal RNA", at positions 29 to 507 of the family's 1533-position model. The record is from RNAcentral.